Molecule: small nucleolar RNA, 72 nt
Filed under: Choloepus hoffmanni (Hoffmann's two-fingered sloth)
Lineage: Eukaryota; Metazoa; Chordata; Mammalia; Pilosa; Megalonychidae
Description: Small nucleolar RNA SNORD112 (ENSCHOG00000016036.1)
Source: RNAcentral
UGGACUAAUGAUGACAGGGUAUCAUGAACCAAGAAAUAUGAUUUCUCUAAUUUUGUGCAACUGAAGUACAAC